GACGAACGCUGGCGGCGUGCUUAACACAUGCAAGUCGAACGGAAAGGCCCUGCUUUUGUGGGGUGCUCGAGUGGCGAACGGGCGAGUAACACGUGAGUAACCUGCCCUUGACUUUGGGAUAACUUCAGGAAACUGGGGCUAAUACCGGAUAGGAGCUCCUGCUGCAUGGUGGAGGUUGGAAAGUUUCGGCGGUUGGGGAUGGACUCGCGGCUUAUCAGCUUGUUGGUGGGGUAGUGGCUUACCAAGGCUUUGACGGGUAGCCGGCCUGAGAGGGUGACCGGCCACAUUGGGACUGAGAUACGGCCCAGACUCCUACGGGAGGCAGAAGUGGGGAAUAUUGCACAAUGGGCGGAAGCCUGAUGCAGCAACGCCGCGUGCGGGAUGACGGCCUUCGGGUUGUAAACCGCUUUCGCCUGUGACGAAGCGUGAGUGACGGUAAUGGGUAAAGAAGCACCGGCUAACUACGUG
This 468-nucleotide ribosomal RNA is filed under the name uncultured bacterium. Its description in RNAcentral is "partial 16S ribosomal RNA". It matches the Rfam family "Bacterial small subunit ribosomal RNA", at positions 28 to 507 of the family's 1533-position model. The record is from RNAcentral.